Molecule: ribosomal RNA, 399 nt
Filed under: uncultured microorganism
Description: bacterial SSU rRNA
Rfam family: Archaeal small subunit ribosomal RNA
Source: RNAcentral
GUGCAGCAGGCGCGAAUCCUCCGCAAUGCGGGAAACCGUGACGGGGUCACCCCGAGUGCCACCCGAUGAGGGUGGCUUUUCCCCGGUCUAAAAAGCCGGGGGCAAUAAGCGGGGGGCAAGUCUGGUGUCAGCCGCCGCGGUAAUACCAGCCCCGCGAGUGGGUCGGGACGUUUAUUGGGCCUAAAGCGUCCGUAGCCGGCUCGGUAAGUCCCUCCUUAAAUCCACGGGCUCAACCCGUGGGCUGGGAGGGAUACUGCCGGGCUAGGGGGCGGGAGAGGCCGAGGGGUACUCCCGGGGGUAGGGGCGAAAUCCGUUAAUCCCGGGAGGACCACCAGUGGCGAAGGCGCUCGGCUGGAACGCGCCCGACGGUGAGGGACGAAAGCUGGGGGAGCAAAGGGG